Non-coding RNA from Phyllostomus discolor (pale spear-nosed bat), 545 nucleotides. Lineage: Eukaryota; Metazoa; Chordata; Mammalia; Chiroptera; Phyllostomidae. The record is from the annotation of a RefSeq genome assembly.
CAGCCCUGCUCCUGCCCAGCCACCCCCAGACUGAGAGGGACCCUCAGUCAGCCUGGCUGCUGACAUGAGCGGCGGCCUCCUGUGCUGCGUGGCCUUGUGUCUCCUCCGUGCAGGUCUGGGGAUGGCCGGCGUCACUCAGUCCCCAGCCUCCCAGGUUGUGACAACAGGACAGACGGUGACCUUGCGGUGUUCCCAGGACUUGAAACACGACGGCAUGUACUGGUACCGACAGGACCUGGGUCACGGGCUGAGGCUGAUCCAUUACUCAGUGGGCCCUGGGAUCAUGGACAAAGGAGAGGUCCCCGAUGGGUACAGUGUCUCUAGAUCAAAACAAGAAGACUUCCCCCUCACGCUGGAGUCGGCCACCCCCGCCCAGACAUCUGUGUACUUCUGCGCCAGCAGUGAACCCACAGUGCUGCAUGGCCGCCUCCUCUCUGCACAGAAAGUCAGGGGGAGGCCCAGCGCCCGGACUCAGGGAAGCCCUGUGCAGACUCCUCCACCUUGGAGCCCCCAGUGGCCCCCACCUGCAGGGUGACCCUCUGUGU